UACGAAGGGUGCAAGCGUUACUCGGAAUUACUGGGCGUAAAGCGUGCGUAGGUGGUUCGUUAAGUCUGUCGUGAAAGCCCCGGGCUCAACCUGGGAAUGGCGAUGGAUACUGGCGGGCUAGAGUGCGGUAGAGGGUGGUGGAAUUCCCGGUGUAGCAGUGAAAUGCGUAGAGAUCGGGAGGAACACCAGUGGCGAAGGCGACUACCUGGCCUGUUUCUUGACGCUGAGGCGCGAAAGCUAGGGGAGCAAACGGG
This 254-nucleotide ribosomal RNA is filed under the name uncultured bacterium. Its description in RNAcentral is "partial 16S ribosomal RNA". It matches the Rfam family "Bacterial small subunit ribosomal RNA", at positions 524 to 776 of the family's 1533-position model. The record is from RNAcentral.